Dipodomys ordii (Ord's kangaroo rat) is the source of this 102-nucleotide small nuclear RNA. Lineage: Eukaryota; Metazoa; Chordata; Mammalia; Rodentia; Heteromyidae. The record is from Ensembl.
GUGCUUUGGUAGCACAUGUAUUAACAUUAGAAAAAUAAGGAGAAGAUUAGCAUGGUCUCUUGUAGGAAUGACACUCAAACUUGUGAAGCAUUCCAUAUUUUU